GAACAGCUAGAGUCGGGAAGGGGCAGAGGGAAUCCCCAGUGUAGCGGUGAAAUGCGUAGAUAUUGGGAAGAACACCGGUGGCGAAAGCGCUCUGCUGGGCCGAACCUGACGCUGAGGGACGAAAGCUAGGGGAGCGAAUGGGAUUAGAUACCCCAGUAGUCCUAGCCGUAAACGAUGGAGACUAGGUGUUGCCUGUAUCGACCCGGGCAGUGCCGAAGCCAACGCGUUAAGUCUCCCGCCUGGGGAGUACGCACGCAAGUGUGAAACUCAAAGGAAUUGACGGGGGCCCGCACAAGCGGUGGAGUAUGUGGUUUAAUUCGAUGCAACGCGAAGAACCUUACCAGGGCUUGACAUCCCGCGAAUCCCGGCGAAAGUUGGGAGUGCCUACGGGAGCGCGGAGACAGGUGGUGCAUGGCUGUCGUCAGCUCGUGUCGUGAGAUGUUGGGUUAAGUCCCGCAACGAGCGCAACCCUCGUCCUUAGUUGCCAGCCUUAAGUGGGGCACUCUAGGGAGACUGCCGGUGAUAAACCGGAGGAAGGUGGGGAUGACGUCAAGUCAUCAUGCCCCAUAUGUCCUGGGCGACACACGUACUACAAUGGUCGGGACAGCGAGCAGCCAACUCGCGAGAGUGAGCUAAUCUCUCAAACCCGGCCUCAGUUCAGAUUGCAGGCUGCAACUCGCCUGCAUGAAGGAGGAAUCGCUAGUAAUCGCAGGUCAGCAUACUGCGGUGAAUCCGUUCCCGGGCCUUGUACACACCGCCCGUCACACCAUGGAAGUCGGCCAUGCCCGAAGUCAUUACUCUAACCGUUCGCGGAGGAGGGUGCCGAAGGCAGGGCUGAUGACUGGGGUGAAGUCGUAACAAGGUAGCCGUACCGGAAGGUGUGGCUGGAUCACCU
This 895-nucleotide ribosomal RNA is filed under the name uncultured bacterium. Its description in RNAcentral is "bacterial SSU rRNA". It matches the Rfam family "Bacterial small subunit ribosomal RNA", at positions 635 to 1528 of the family's 1533-position model. The record is from RNAcentral.